CCUACGGGAGGCAGCAGUGAGGAAUAUUGGUCAAUGGACGAGAGUCUGAACCAGCCAAGUAGCGUGAAGGAUGACUGCCCUAUGGGUUGUAAACUUCUUUUAUAUGGGAAUAAAACGUUCCACGUGUGGGAUUUUGUAUGUACCAUAUGAAUAAGGAUCGGCUAACUCCGUGCCAGCAGCCGCGGUAAUACGGAGGAUCCGAGCGUUAUCCGGAUUUAUUGGGUUUAAAGGGAGCGUAGGUGGAAUGUUAAGUCAGUUGUGAAAGUUUGCGGCUCAACCGUAAAAUUGCAGUUGAAACUGGCAGUCUUGAGUACAGUAGAGGUGGGCGGAAUUCGUGGUGUAGCGGUGAAAUGCUUAGAUAUCACGAAGAACUCCGAUUGCGAAGGCAGUUCACUGGACUGCAACUGACACUGAGGCUCGAAAGUGUGGGUAUCAAACAGGAUUAGAUACCCCAGUAGUC
RNAcentral lists this ribosomal RNA (460 nucleotides) under uncultured bacterium. RNAcentral's name for it is "partial 16S ribosomal RNA". It matches the Rfam family "Bacterial small subunit ribosomal RNA", at positions 338 to 795 of the family's 1533-position model. The record is from RNAcentral.